AUUGAACGCUGGCGGCAUGCUUUACACAUGCAAGUCGAACGGCAGCGCGGGCUUCGGCCUGGCGGCGAGUGGCGAACGGGUGAGUAAUGCAUCGGAACGUGCCCAGUAGUGGGGGAUAGCCCAGCGAAAGCCGGAUUAAUACCGCAUACGACCUGAGGGUGAAAGCGGGGGACCGAAAGGCCUCGCGCUAUUGGAGCGGCCGAUGUCGGAUUAGCUAGUUGGUGGGGUAAAGGCUUACCAAGGCGACGAUCCGUAGCUGGUCUGAGAGGACGACCAGCCACACGGGGACUGAGACACGGACAGGGCUCCUACGGGAGGCAGCAGUGGGGAAUGUUGGACAAAGGGGGCAACCCUGAUCCAGCCUUGGCGCGGGCGAGAAACAGGCUGUCGGGUUGUAAACCGGGGUUGUUCGGGAAGAAAGCAUCUGGGCUAAUACCCCGCGGGGAUGACGGUACCGGAAGAAUAAGCACCGGCUAACUACGUG
Molecule: ribosomal RNA, 484 nt
Filed under: uncultured bacterium
Lineage: Bacteria
Description: partial 16S ribosomal RNA
Rfam family: Bacterial small subunit ribosomal RNA
Source: RNAcentral